This is a non-coding RNA of Oryza sativa Japonica Group (Japanese rice), 2449 nucleotides long. The record is from RefSeq and is a predicted model, not a curated record. Lineage: Eukaryota; Viridiplantae; Streptophyta; Magnoliopsida; Poales; Poaceae.
AUAAGACGAACGGUCAAACAUGUGAUAAAAAGUCAACGGCGUCAAACAUUUCAAAACGGAUGGAGUAUUAAAUAAUAAAAUAGAGUUUAUAUACAUCGAAGAAAAAAAUAAAAAAAAUAUUUACAAGUGGAUUAGAAACGAGAGUCUAGCCAUGAUUGAAAUGGGGGUCUGUCUUCUUCCUUCACUCUUUGCAUAAGAAGAGCGAAAUUUUCCUUAAAGGCCGAUUUCCAAUGAUUGAGAGAUAUGGCAAUAUUGUCAAAAAUAAGAGCAUUUCGUGAGGACCAUAUCUGCCAGUAUGCUGUGCCUAUUACCUCAACAAAGAAUGGCCGGUUAAAAACAUGAUAGGCUGACUGAAUCAUUUGCAGAAAUUCCAAAUCCUCAUCCCAGCUGACACCAAGGAGAUUCCUGCAUGAUUUGGCAAAUGGGCAAGAGAAAAACAUGUGCACCAUAUCUUCCAAAACCCCUGAAGUACACAUUUUACAGGAAGGGCCAUCUUGGACAUGCAAUUGUCGCCUUUGAAGCAUAUCUCGUGUGUUUAAUCUAUCCAUAAAAAGGAGCUAGAGAAAAGCUUUAACUUUCAUUGUGCACUUACUUUUCCAUAUGGAGGUAAUUGCUGGAUGAGGGGAAAGGUGAGCAAAAAACAAGUCAUAGACCUUCUUUCACUUGAAAAUUGUCCCCCAGGAAUAUGUCCAAAUGUCUGGGUGAUCUGUGAGAUUGAUAUUUUCCAAAAGGCGUGAAAGUUCAGUGAAUUGCUGUAACGCUUGGGGGGAUAGUGGCAAAUUGAAAUUUUCUGUCACAUCAUUCUGAACAUAAGUUUAUACUGUGAUACCUUCAUUGAUAGCAAAGGAAAAUAAUGUUGAGAAAGCAUUUUGAGGCAAGUCAUCUGUCCAUGGGUCUUUCCAGAAAAGAGCCAAAUCUCCUGUGUUUAUCUGGAUUGUACUAACCCCUCUGAAGAUUGGGAUUAAACGAAAGAUAUCUUUCCACCAAAAUGAUCCUCUUUCCUGCAGGGCAUGCGGUGGCACCGAGUUGUUACUGUAGUAUGCAUUCCAAAUGAGCUUCACCCAAGGCUGCCAGGGACAGAGACCUAGCAUCAACUUCUGAAGUCUCUAAUGUUAAUAUCAACUUCUGAGAGUGAUAUUAAUUACUUCCAGCAGCAGCAGGAGUACCGUCUCUAAUGUUUUUCCUGCAUUGGAGUCUCUGAAGUUCAGGGACAUGGGAGCCUGGGAGGAAUGGUCAGAAUUCAAGGAUGAACACUUCCCACAGCUCAAGUAUCUCAGCAUUGUUAGGUGUGCAAAGCUGACGGUGCUGCCCAACUUCACUUCAGGACCAAAACAGAGAAUCAGGAGUUGUGAGAAACUGCUCCAGCCUCUAUGUCAGAUAAUUGCUCAUCAAUCAUCACUCACGACCAAGACAAACUAAAUUAUAUGAAACGAGGAUUAGUGUUUCUGCGCUCAUAAACAGGGUGAAUGAAGUAUUUCUUUGAUUUUUCAUAAUAGCUUUGAAUAUACGGCGGAAUUUGAUGAAGUACAUACCACCACCAAGUGAACUGUCAUAUGCAUGCAUGGCAGAAGGUAAUAUUUCAAUCAUAGAAGCUUCCUGUUCAUACAGUAGGUAGAACAUCGGAAGUGGAGGGAGGGCAUCCAUUAUUGUAAAUGCUCAUGAAUUGAUGCUAUUUAGCUUAACAAUCUUAUUUCAGAUAGGUUGUUAUUUGCAGUUACAUUCUAUAGUGUCUUCAGGACAAUAUUCAGCCAAGUUUGCUUACAAUUCCUUCCAAGGUGCCACUCUAUUCAGGCCAUGGGAACGUAGUUGAAAAGUGUCACUUUUUCAUGUGGCUUGUCGUGCAUAAUUGGUGCUGGAUCGUCUUGGCCGACGAGUUCUGCCACACCCGGAUCAUUGUCCUCAUUGUGACCAACAGGACGAAACAAUUGAUCACUUGCUUACAAACUGUCUCUUCGCGAGACAAUUUUGGUACUCCCUCCUACAGCGGUUUGGCCUGAAUUCUUUGCCCCCCUUGAAUGACGAUCAAUUUUGAGUGGUGAAACAGGAUCAAUGAGGCAACUAAUGGUUCGGUGCAAAAUGGACUUAAUUCUAUAGUAAUUCUUGGUGUUUGGACGUUUUGGAAGCAUCGGAACCGUUGUGUUUCUGAUGGGGUUAAUCCUAACUUGGCCAGUGCUCUUAUUCUUGCUGAGGAGAAAGGACGGCUGUGGUGUUUGGCCAGGGCUCGGGGGCUAUCCUUUUAUAUUGCCAAAGUGUUGGGUGGUUAGUCUCAGAUCAUGGUUUGGUUUGUGGUUGUGGUUGUGGUUGGGUUUGCGACAUACAUGGUUCCUAGAACUUAGUGUGUGUGCGUUUGGUUUUGUACUCGAGGUUCUACCCCCUCUUUCUUCUUCUUAAGAGAUAUUUUACGGUGUAUGCAUUCCAAAAAGGGUAAAGAUCCAAUGCUCCUCAAUCA